This 253-nucleotide ribosomal RNA is filed under the name uncultured bacterium. RNAcentral's name for it is "partial 16S ribosomal RNA". It matches the Rfam family "Bacterial small subunit ribosomal RNA", at positions 524 to 776 of the family's 1533-position model. The record is from RNAcentral.
UACAGAGGGGGCAAGCGUUGUUCGGAUUUACUGGGCGUAAAGCGCACGUAGGCGGAUUGUUAAGUCGGGGGUGAAAUCCUGGAGCUCAACUCCAGAAUUGCCUUCGAUACUGGCUUUCUAGAGGCUGGAAGAGGUUAGUGGAAUUCCCAGUGUAGAGGUGAAAUUCGUAGAUAUUGGGAAGAACACCAGUGGCGAAGGCGGCUAACUGGUCCAGAUCUGACGCUGAGGUGCGAAAGCGUGGGGAGCAAACAGG